Long non-coding RNA from Scophthalmus maximus (turbot), 1556 nucleotides. RefSeq lists it as uncharacterized. Lineage: Eukaryota; Metazoa; Chordata; Actinopteri; Pleuronectiformes; Scophthalmidae. The record is from RefSeq and is a predicted model, not a curated record. The transcript has 5 exons.
GAAAGGUUCAGCAAAGUUUCAUUAAAAUCAAUAUUCAUUAUGCUCUUUGUAAAAUGUAUACAAUAUUUUUUUUCAUUCCUGAUGAUAUAACUUCAGACCAUACUGUAUAAAACCCAGGUCACAUCACAAAUUCUGUUUGAUGGGAUAUAAGAUCUGCAUCAGCUCACCGCUCAGUUUGGUCUUGAUGCCCAUUGGCGUACGACGAGGUCGGCUGAGUCCAGCCUCAUUCUCAGCAAAGAUUCUAAACUCGUAUUCCUGUGCCUCCAUUAAGCCACCCAUGGUGAACUGGCGAUCCUUGGAGCGCUCCUUGUGGCAUUUCUUCCAGGCACUUUCCCCUGCCUGCCUGAACUCAAUCCAGUAGCCCAGAAUCUCCUUGCCUCCGUCAUGCUCGGGCCUGAGCCAGUGGAUGGUGAUGCAGUCUUUGGUGAUGGAGAUGAUGUCGAUCUCUCCUGGCUGGCUGGGUUUGUCUAUAAGGAAUGAACAAAAGGAGCGUAGAAAAAAAGACACUAAACAACAGACUCUGAAACAGGACCAGGCUCACUCUGCCCAAUGUCGUUCUGAGCCACGACUCUGAACAUGUACUCUGCAUCGGGGAUGAGACCUGUGACAUUGUACAUGGUUGUGGUGAUGUGGGUCUUGUUGUGGCGGACCCACUUCUCUGUGGACACCUCCCUCCUUUCCACAUAGUAUCCUGUGACGCGAGAGCCACCGUCAUCCCGGGGGCGGGACCAGGACAGAGCCACUGUAGACUUGGUCACGUCCAUGAUCUCUGGCCCUUCACCACCAGAGAAUUCUCGGCCACCCGGGAGUCAACUGUACACCAGGCGGCCUUGGGUACCUCUCGCCUUUCCACGAUGUAUCCCAGGAUGUCAGAACCACCAUCAUCUGAAGGUGUUCUCCAGCUGACUCGCACUGAUCUGGCCUGAAUGUCGUCAAACUCCAGAGGGCCUUCUGGGACAUCAGGGCGACCGAUCACCUUCACCUAGAGGAGGAGGACAUACAUAGAACGUUAAGUAUCAACCAUUCCAAGAAAAUGUGUUCAAGUGUAUUUUAUUUCACUGUCAAUUCAGACAAGCUGGUCACCUUGAUGUACACAGCCUUCCUGCCGCAUUUGUUCUCCAGCACCAGGUCGUAGGUACCAGUGUCAUCUUUGUGUGCCUCUUUGAUGACCAGCUCAGUGACGUCAUCGUGGGUGGCGAUCAUGGCGCGAUGGGAGAUGUCACGACCGUCCUUGGUCCACUUGCAUGUAGGGAUGGGUUUACCCUUGAUAGGUACAGACAGAUGGAUGACUCCGCCCUGUCGCACCACCAUUUCCUGGACUUUAACCACUCCAGGAAUCUCGGCGGGCUCUCCGGUACCACCAGCGUUGCAGGCGAUGACCCUGAAUUUGUACUCUGCACCCUGAGGCAUGUGGGUGGCGACCAAGCCAGAGAGACCGAAGUCCUGGUGCUGUCCGUGACCCGGGCCUGGACUGGAGUUCCUGGAGGCUCUGUUCAACAAAACAUGGAGACAUUUGGUAAAAAUACUGACAUCAGACUAAUCAACAAUAGGUGGUG